ACUCCUACGGGAGGCAGCAGUGGGGAAUAUUGCACAAUGGGCGCAAGCCUGAUGCAGCCAUGCCGCGUGUAUGAAGAAGGCCUUCGGGUUGUAAAGUACUUUCAGCAGUGAGGAAGGCGGAGUCGUUAAUAGCGGCCUCGUUUGACGUUAGCUGCAGAAGAAGCACCGGCUAACUCCGUGCCAGCAGCCGCGGUAAUACGGAGGGUGCGAGCGUUAAUCGGAAUUACUGGGCGUAAAGCGCAUGCAGGUGGUUUGUUAAGUCAGAUGUGAAAGCCCGGGGCUCAACCUCGGAACUGCAUUUGAAACUGGCAGACUAGAGUACUGUAGAGGGGGGUAGAAUUUCAGGUGUAGCGGUGAAAUGCGUAGAGAUCUGAAGGAAUACCGGUGGCGAAGGCGGCCCCCUGGACAGAUACUGACACUCAGAUGCGAAAGCGUGGGGAGCAAACAGGAUUAGAUACCCUGGUAGCGUCGUC
RNAcentral lists this ribosomal RNA (473 nucleotides) under uncultured bacterium. RNAcentral describes it as "bacterial SSU rRNA". It matches the Rfam family "Bacterial small subunit ribosomal RNA", at positions 335 to 798 of the family's 1533-position model. The record is from RNAcentral.